Molecule: ribosomal RNA, 253 nt
Filed under: uncultured bacterium
Lineage: Bacteria
Description: partial 16S ribosomal RNA
Rfam family: Bacterial small subunit ribosomal RNA
Source: RNAcentral
UACGUAGGGUGCAAGCGUUGUCCGGAAUUAUUGGGCGUAAAGAGCUCGUAGGCGGUCUGUCGCGUCGGCUGUGAAAACCCGAGGCUCAACCUCGGGCCUGCAGUCGAUACGGGCAAACUAGAGUACUGCAGGGGAGACUGGAAUUCCUGGUGUAGCGGUGAAAUGCGCAGAUAUCAGGAGGAACACCGGUGGCGAAGGCGACUUUCUGGGCUGUAACUGACGCUGAGGCGCGAAAGCGUGGGGAGCAAACAGG